Molecule: ribosomal RNA, 2018 nt
Filed under: human gut metagenome
Description: bacterial LSU rRNA
Rfam family: Bacterial large subunit ribosomal RNA
Source: RNAcentral
AGUGAACCAGUACCGUGAGGGAAAGGCGAAAAGAACCCCGGGAGGGGAGUGAAAUAGAACCUGAAACCGCAUGCAUACAAACAGUAGGAGCCUCACCAGAGGUGACUGCGUACCUUUUGCAUAAUGGGUCAGCGACUUACAUUCUGUGGCGAGCUUAACCGAAUAGGGGAGGCGCAGCGAAAGCGAGUUCGAAAUGAGCGUCCAGUCGCAGGGUGUAGACCCGAAACCAGAUGAGCUAUCCAUGGCCAGGUUGAAGGUGUGGUAACACACACUGGAGGACCGAACCGACUAGUGUUGCAAAAUUAGCGGAUGAGCUGUGGAUAGGGGUGAAAGGCCAAACAAAUCUGGAGAUAGCUGGUUCUCCCCGAAAACUAUUGAGGUAGUGCCUCGUGUGUCGCUCCAGGGGGUAGAGCACUGUUUUGGCUAGGGGGACAUGGAGUCUUACCAAACCAAGGCAAACUCCGAAUACCUGGAAGCGUAAGCACGGGAGACAGAGCACCGGGUGCUAACGUCCGGACUCAAAAGGGAAACAACCCAGACCGCCGGCUAAGGUCCCCAAUAACAGCUAAGUGGAAAACGAAGUGGAAAGGCCGUGACAACCAGGAAGUUGGCUUAGAAGCAGCCAUCCUUCAAAGAAAGCGUAAUAGCUCACUGGUCGAGUCCUUCUGCGCGGAAGAUGUAACGGGGCUAAGCUGUUAACCGAAGCCGCGGAUGCACUGAUUAUUCAGUGCGUGGUAGGGGAGCGUUCUGUAAGUCUGCGAAGGCGGUUCGAGAGGACUGCUGGAGAUAUCAGAAGUGCGAAUGCUGACAUGAGUAACGUUAAAGCAGGUGAAAAGCCUGCUCGCCGUAAGCCCAAGGAUUCCUGCUCUACGUUCAUCGGAGCAGGGUGAGUCGGCUCCUAAGGUCAGGCCGAAAGGCGUAGCCGAUGGGAAUCAGGUUAAUAUUCCUGAACCUGCGUCAGAUGCGAUGGGGGGACGGAGCAUGAAAGAUCAUCCGGGUGUUGGAUGUCCCGGUUGACGAGCGUAGGAGGUCUGCAGGCAAAUCCGCAGACGCAUCUCCAAGGCGAAGUCACGUGCCGCCACGGCGGCGAAGUGAUCGGAAGUGCUUCCAAGAAAAGCCUCUAAGCACCAGUCUGACGCGGACCGUACCGCAAACCGACACUGGUGGGCGAGCUGAAUAUGCUCAGGCGCUUGAGAGAACUCGGGAGAAGGAACUCGGCAAAUUGACACCGUAACUUCGGAAGAAGGUGUGCCGUAGUACCGUGAGAGGAGAGACACCUUGAGCGGGAAUCGGUCUCAGAGAAUAGGUGGCUGCGACUGUUUAUUAAAAACACAGCACUCUGCAAAGUCGAAAGACGACGUAUAGGGUGUGAUGCCUGCCCGGUGCUGGAAGAUUAAUUGAUGGGGUGAGAGCCCUUGAUCGAAGUCCCAGUAAACGGCGGCCGUAACUAUAACGGUCCUAAGGUAGCGAAAUUCCUUGUCGGGUAAGUUCCGACCUGCACGAAUGGCAUAACGAUGGCCACACUGUCUCCUCCCGAGACUCAGUGAAGUUGAAAUGUUUGUGAUGAUGCAAUCUACCCGCGGCUAGACGGAAAGACCCCAUGAACCUUUACUGCAGCUUUGCAUUGAACUGUGAACCGAUUUGUGUAGGAUAGGUGGGAGGCAGAGAAGAGUCCACGCCAGUGGUCUUGGAGCCGACCUUGAAAUACCACCCUGAUUUGUUUGCGGUUCUAACCACGGACAGUGAUCCUGUCUUGGGACCGUGCAUGGUAGGCAGUUUGACUGGGGCGGUCUCCUCCUAAAGGGUAACGGAGGAGUACGAAGGUACGCUAGGUACGGUCGGAAAUCGUGCUGAUAGUGCAAUGGCAAAAGCGUGCUUGACUGCGAGAGCAACAACUCGAGCAGAUGCGAAAGCAGGUCAUAGUGAUCCGGUGGCUCUGAAUGGAAGGGCCAUCGCUCAACGGAUAAAAGGUACUCUGGGGAUAACAGGCUGAUACCGCCCAAGAGUUCAUAUCGACG